RNAcentral lists this transfer RNA (82 nucleotides) under Echinostoma caproni. It matches the Rfam family "tRNA". From Rfam's summary of the family: Transfer RNA (tRNA) molecules are approximately 80 nucleotides in length. Their secondary structure includes four short double-helical elements and three loops (D, anti-codon, and T loops). The record is from Rfam by way of RNAcentral. Lineage: Eukaryota; Metazoa; Platyhelminthes; Trematoda; Plagiorchiida; Echinostomatidae.
GGUCUCGUAGCUUAGCUGGUAGAGCGUGCGCGUACAAAGCGUAGGCGGUGUUCAUGCGUGGGUUCGAAUCCCACCGAAGCUA